RNAcentral lists this ribosomal RNA (429 nucleotides) under Gemmatimonadota bacterium. Its description in RNAcentral is "Gemmatimonadetes bacterium partial 16S ribosomal RNA". It matches the Rfam family "Bacterial small subunit ribosomal RNA", at positions 355 to 776 of the family's 1533-position model. Lineage: Bacteria; Pseudomonadati; Gemmatimonadota. The record is from RNAcentral.
UAGGGAAUCUUCGGCAAUGGACGAAAGUCUGACCGAGCAACGCCGCGGGAGUGAAGAAGGUUUUCGGAUCGUAAAACUCUGUUGUUAGAGAAGAACAAGGACGUUAGUAACUGAACGUCCCCUGACGGUAUCUAACCAGAAAGCCACGGCUAACUACGUGCCAGCAGCCGCGGUAAUACGUAGGUGGCAAGCGUUGUCCGGAUUUAUUGGGCGUAAAGCGAGCGCAGGCGGUUUCUUAAGUCUGAUGUGAAAGCCCCCGGCUCAACCGGGGAGGGUCAUUGGAAACUGGGCGACUUGAGUGCAGAAGAGGAGAGUGGAAUUCCAUGUGUAGCGGUGAAAUGCGUAGAUAUAUGGAGGAACACCAGUGGCGAAGGCGGCUCUCUGGUCUGUAACUGACGCUGAGGCUCGAAAGCGUGGGGAGCAAACAGG